AUGCAGCUGUCCUUACCCACAGGUUGGGGGGCCGGUGUCUGCGCCCCUCCCUCAGCCCCUUUCCCCUGGCCAGCCCACAGCAGAGGGGAGGAGGCCACAUUCCCCAGCACAGGGCUUCACAGACUCACCCCACACGUGCCUGUCCAGACCCAGAGGGCUCCCCACGUCACAUGGGUCACAAGGAAGGACUGUGCCGCGGACACACACGGGACCUUGUGCACACUGGGGGUCCAGAAAGCCCACGGUUGGGUGGGCGCCAAAAAAGCCCUUGGCCCCAGCUUAGUCUGUGCUUUUUCAGUGACUGAGACUGGUGGUCUACACACAGAAGCCUGCCCAGCUCACGGUGGAGCCGAGAUGUCCAAGAUCAUGGUGCCAGCAUCCGGUGAGGACUUCCUGCUGCGACUUGCCGGGGCACAGGGGCUCAGGUGCCAAGAGGGAGUGUGUGUGGGGCCAGAGUGCAUGUGGGGUCACAGCCUCAUGUGGGGACACAGCUGUGUAUGGGGACAGAGCACAAGUAGGGGCAGAGCUGCGUGUGGGAACAGAGUGUGGGUGGGGUCACAGCCACAUGCGUGGGGUCACAGCCGUGUGUGGGGACAGAGCUGUGUGUGGAGACAGAGUGCAUGUGGGGUCACAGCCACAUGUGUGGGUCACAGCUGUGUGGGGGGACAGAGUGUGUGUGGGGUCACAGCCACGUGUGGGGACGCAGCACGUGUGGAGAUGGAGCCGUGUGUGGGGUUGGAGCCAGGUGCCAGCUUGGGCGUCUCCUCUGGUUACUCAGCCACAGGAGCCAUGACCGCAUUGCACCCUGACCACCUCCCCAUCCCCGCCACACCUGCAUGUGAACUCUGGGCUGAUGGGUGUGUGGCAUUCUGGGGUCAGGGCUGGCCUGAGGUCUCCAGGGAGGUGAUGGGGCCUGGGACUCCUCCCGCAGGGCUCUGCAGUACCUCUGCCCACCGGAACCUCAUGAGGAGCCCUUCUUUGGAAAUGGGGUCUUGGCAGAUCGAGCCACUGAGUGACCCUGAGAUGGGGCCAUCCUGGAUUGGGGUGGGCCCUGACACCCUGGACAGUGUCGGAGGAGGUGGCUAG
This 1086-nucleotide long non-coding RNA is filed under the name Oryctolagus cuniculus (rabbit). Its description in RNAcentral is "lncRNA (ENSOCUG00000032274.1)". The record is from RNAcentral. Lineage: Eukaryota; Metazoa; Chordata; Mammalia; Lagomorpha; Leporidae.